This 260-nucleotide ribosomal RNA is filed under the name Frondihabitans sp. ISO329_OTU91517. RNAcentral describes it as "partial 16S ribosomal RNA". It matches the Rfam family "Bacterial small subunit ribosomal RNA", at positions 29 to 289 of the family's 1533-position model. Lineage: Bacteria; Bacillati; Actinomycetota; Actinomycetes; Micrococcales; Microbacteriaceae. The record is from RNAcentral.
ACGAACGCUGGCGGCGUGCUUAACACAUGCAAGUCGAACGAUGAUCAGGAGCUUGCUCCUGUGAUUAGUGGCGAACGGGUGAGUAACACGUGAGUAACCUGCCCUUGACUCUGGGAUAAGCGUUGGAAACGACGUCUAAUACCGGAUAUGACCCUCGCCGGCAUCGGCUGGGGGUGGAAAGAAUUUUGGUCAAGGAUGGACUCGCGGCCUAUCAGGUAGUUGGUGAGGUAAUGGCUCACCAAGCCGACGACGGGUAGCCG